CUCACAUAGCUCCAACACCAACAGGAAGCACAGCAUGUAUAGCUGCCAUUAGAGGCAACCAGAUCAUUGUUGGAAAUGUUGGUGAUUCUCGUUGCGUACUCUCAAGGAAUGGUCAGGCAAUUGAAUUGUCCACUGAUCACAAACCAAAUCGGCAAGAUGAAAGACAGAGAAAUCAGAGAGCAGGAGGACGAUUAACGAGGGAUAAGGUUCUUGUAGUAGCAGACGGACGAAUCAGAUGGCAAUGGUUGGGCAUCCACCGGAUUAAUGGAAUCUUAUCCGUCUCCAGAGUGAUUGGCGAUUUUGCAUUCAAGAAGAACUAGGAUUUGCCUCCUGCAGAACAAAUGGUGACAUGUGAUCCAGAAAUUCGCAUUAUGGAGAUAACCAAUGAUAUUGAGCUUAUUGUCAUACGAAGUGACGGUAUCUGG
Molecule: long non-coding RNA, 425 nt
Organism: Phragmites australis (common reed)
Lineage: Eukaryota; Viridiplantae; Streptophyta; Magnoliopsida; Poales; Poaceae
Exons: 4
Source: RefSeq, a predicted model, not a curated record